GGUGCUGUACGCUUAACGGUAAAGUCGGUGUCAGCCCUUCGGGGAGCACGUAUGCAGGUUCAAUUCCUGCCAGCACCU
RNAcentral lists this transfer RNA (78 nucleotides) under Salmonella enterica. RNAcentral's name for it is "tRNA-Arg". It matches the Rfam family "tRNA". From Rfam's summary of the family: Transfer RNA (tRNA) molecules are approximately 80 nucleotides in length. Their secondary structure includes four short double-helical elements and three loops (D, anti-codon, and T loops). Further hydrogen bonds mediate the characteristic L-shaped molecular structure. tRNAs have two regions of fundamental functional importance: the anti-codon, which is responsible for specific mRNA codon recognition, and the 3' end, to which the tRNAs corresponding amino acid is attached (by aminoacyl-tRNA synthetases). tRNAs cope with the degeneracy of the genetic code in two manners: having more than one tRNA (with a specific anti-codon) for a particular amino acid; and 'wobble' base-pairing, i.e. permitting non-standard base-pairing at the 3rd anti-codon position. Lineage: Bacteria; Pseudomonadati; Pseudomonadota; Gammaproteobacteria; Enterobacterales; Enterobacteriaceae. The record is from RNAcentral.